This 460-nucleotide ribosomal RNA is filed under the name uncultured bacterium. RNAcentral's name for it is "SSU rRNA". It matches the Rfam family "Bacterial small subunit ribosomal RNA", at positions 26 to 518 of the family's 1533-position model. The record is from RNAcentral.
AGAAUCAACGCUGGCGGCGUGCCUAACACAUGCAAGUCGAACGAGAAAGUGGAGCAAUCCAUGAGUAAAGUGGCGACCGGGUGAGUAACACGUGACUAACCUACCUUUCAGUGGGGAAUAACCUCGGGAAACCGGGGCUAAUACCGCAUAAUGUCUUCGGACCAAAGGAGCAAUUCGCUGAAAGAGGGGGUCGCGGCCGAUUAGCUAGUUGGCGGGGUAACGGCCCACCAAGGCAAUGAUCGGUAGCCGGCCUGAGAGGGCGCACGGCCACACUGGAACUGAAACACGGUCCAGACUCCUACGGGAGGCAGCAGUGGGGAAUUUUGCGCAAUGGGGGAAACCCUGACGCAGCAACGCCGCGUGGAGGAUGAAGCCCCUUGGGGUGUAAACUCCUUUCGAUCGGGACGAUUAUGACGGUACCGGAUGAAGAAGCACCGGCUAACUCUGUGCCAGCAGCCGC